GUGAGGAAUAUUGGACAAUGGGCGCAAGCCUGAUCCAGCCAUGCCGCGUGCAGGAAGACGCAUCUAUGGUGUGUAAACUGCUUUUGUACGGGAAGAAACACUCCCUCGUGAGGGAGCUUGACGGUACCGUAAGAAUAAGGAUCGGCUAACUCCGUGCCAGCAGCCGCGGUAAUACGGAGGAUCCAAGCGUUAUCCGGAAUCAUUGGGUUUAAAGGGUCCGUCGGCGGUUUAAUAAGUCAGUGGUGAAAGCCCAUCGCUCAACGAUGGAACGGCCAUUGAUACUGUUAGACUUGAAUUACAAGGAAAUAACUAGAAUAUGUAGUGUAGCGGUGAAAUGCUUAGAUAUUACAUGGAAUACCAAUUGCGAAGGCAGGUUACUACUUGUGGAUUGACGCUGAUGGACGAAAGCGUGGGGAGCGAACAGGAUUAGAAACCCUGGUAGUCC
This 445-nucleotide ribosomal RNA is filed under the name uncultured bacterium. Its description in RNAcentral is "partial 16S ribosomal RNA". It matches the Rfam family "Bacterial small subunit ribosomal RNA", at positions 354 to 796 of the family's 1533-position model. The record is from RNAcentral.